This 789-nucleotide long non-coding RNA is filed under the name Homo sapiens (human). Its description in RNAcentral is "HSALNT0326644". The record is from RNAcentral. Lineage: Eukaryota; Metazoa; Chordata; Mammalia; Primates; Hominidae.
CUCUAAAAAAAAAGAAGAAAAAAGGCUAUGGAUUUUAAAAACGGAAUUACACAUUUUAAAAAUCCAAUAUUAGUUAAUACCUCUAAAGAAGCUCAAAACAGUUAUAUCCUAGUUCAAUUAUACCAAAUGCCUAAAAAUAUGAAACUAUAUAUUUGCCAAGAUGACUCCUACUUUUAAAACCAGGCAAGAUCAAAUAAAAGCCUGCAAACCUGCAUGGCCUCACCCUAAGAGAUAUAUUCAUAUCAUUUAAUGGUAGACUGAUCUAAUUAAUGACUAAAUACAAGUCUAAUAAUAUGCCAAUAUCUUUGAAAUUAUAUAUCCUGUUAAUAUGAGUUCCAUAUUAACAAAAAACCAGGGUGUGGCCUGUGAUUUAUUGGUUGGUUUUUGUCCAUGGUUCCUGGUUUAUAACUCCCAUAGCCUUUGUUAGUCUUUUGUUAUAAUGUUGGGUCAGAAGCAGGUCCCAGAAGAUAGAUUCUCUCUCUGACCUUCUGCUGCCUUCCUUUCACCUGCUGCUUUUUCUCCCCAAGGCAGGAAUCAUCUCCAGCUUUUCUGUUUUAGAGACUGACCUAAAAAAAUUCUCUGACCUACCUUGUCUGAUUUUAGGUCACAAGGCACUCAUUUGAAAAGAGAUCCUGAGUCAUACCUUGGAGGAAGAAAUGCUAUACGGAAAGUUGUCAGUCAUGUCUAUCCAAUAAAGCCUCCAUAAAAGGCACAAGAGGACAGGGUUUGGGGAGCUUUUGGAUAGAUGAACACAUAGAGACUUACAGGAAGGUGGAAGGUAAACAAAAA